GCCGGCUUAGCUCAGGGGCAGAGCAGCAGUUUUGUAAACUGCGGGUCGUGGGUUCGAACCCCACAGCCGGCUCC
This 74-nucleotide transfer RNA is filed under the name Methylacidimicrobium tartarophylax. RNAcentral's name for it is "tRNA-Thr". It matches the Rfam family "tRNA". From Rfam's summary of the family: Transfer RNA (tRNA) molecules are approximately 80 nucleotides in length. Their secondary structure includes four short double-helical elements and three loops (D, anti-codon, and T loops). The record is from RNAcentral. Lineage: Bacteria; Pseudomonadati; Verrucomicrobiota.